GUGAGGUCAGCAGCCUCCAGCCCCCACGGGAGCAGCCUCUGGCAGGGAGGGGAGGGCAGGCGGAGGCCUCCGUCCCUCCUGAGCCCCUCACACUUCCUCCAGCCCCAGCCCUGGGAUCCCAAGGGAGAAUCCAGCUGGCAUCCAGUUAUGACAUAUCUCGAAUACCCAAGCACGAUCUUCCACCCCCUGCCGCUGCCCGGGUACCGCUCCCGCACCGCGCCCAGACGGACGGACAGACACACGGCUCAGCAUGUCCGACAGCCCCAGCCCAGGAGGGACCCCUGAAGAGGGGGCCCCCGAUGAACCCCAGGGGCAGCCCCCCUGCGCCAAGCUCAAAGCAGCUGUGGAGAAAUGGUGAGUCCCGGUGCAGCUGCCAUGAUGCAGGGUUGAGGGGUGGGGAGCACUGCUGGGGGGAGUCUGGCAUCCUGCCAACCUGACCCACGGAGAGCUGCUACAGGGAAUGGAGGGCAGGGGCUCCAGGCAGGGCUCAGUGGGUCUGCAGUCAGUGGGGCAGCAGGGUAGCUCAGUAGAGUGGGGGCAGGGAGCUCAGUGGGGCAGAAGGGCUCAGUGGGUUAGGGGAUGGGGGCCUAAGUGGGGCAGGGAGGGCUCAGUGGGGUGAGGGUUCAAGGUUUUCAUGAGGCAGGUAACUCCGUGGGGUGGGGAACGCAGUGGUGCAGGUGGAGGUCAGUGGGGUUGAAAUUGGGGGCAUUCGUGGGGCUGAGGGGCUCAGCGGGGUGGAGAGAUUCAUUGGGGUUACUUGGGAGCUCUGUUGGGUGGGGCCCCGGAGCUUAGUGGGGGUCUCAGGGGGGCAGAGUGUCUCAGUG
RNAcentral lists this long non-coding RNA (824 nucleotides) under Gopherus evgoodei (Goodes thornscrub tortoise). Its description in RNAcentral is "lncRNA (ENSGEVG00005017750.1)". The record is from RNAcentral. Lineage: Eukaryota; Metazoa; Chordata; Testudines; Testudinidae.